AACGGACGCUGGCGGCAUGCCUAACACAUGCAAGUCGAACGAGACCUUCGGGUCUAGUGGCGCACGGGUGCGUAACGCGUGGGAACCUGCCCUUAGGUUCGGAAUAACUCCCCGAAAGGGGUGCUAAUACCGGAUAAUGUCUUCGGACCAAAGAUUUAUCGCCUUUGGAUGGGCCCGCGUUGGAUUAGCUAGUUGGUAGGGUAAAAGCCUACCAAGGCGACGAUCCAUAGCUGGUCUGAGGGGAUGAUCAGCCACACUGGGACUGAGACACGGCCCAGACUCCUACGGGAGGCAGCAGUGGGGAAUAUUGGACAAUGGGCGAAAGCCUGAUCCAGCAAUGCCGCGUGAGUGAUGAAGGCCUUAGGGUUGUAAAGCUCUUUUACCCGGGAUGAUAAUGACAGUACCGGGAGAAUAAGCUCCGGCUAACUCCGUG
RNAcentral lists this ribosomal RNA (433 nucleotides) under uncultured bacterium. RNAcentral's name for it is "partial 16S ribosomal RNA". It matches the Rfam family "Bacterial small subunit ribosomal RNA", at positions 29 to 507 of the family's 1533-position model. The record is from RNAcentral.